GAAUCUUGCACAAUGGGGGAAACCCUGAUGCAGCGACGCCGCGUGAGCGAUGAAGCCCUUCGGGGUGUAAAGCUCUUUCGACGGGAACGAUGAUGACGGUACCCGGAGAAGAAGCUGCGGCUCACUACGUGCCAGCAGCCGCGGUAAUACGUAGGCAGCAAGCGUUGUUCGGAGUUACUGGGCGUAAAGAGUGUGUAGGCGGUUCGCUAAGUUCGGUGUGAAAUCUCCCGGCUUAACUGGGAGGGUGCGCCGGAAACUGGCGGGCUAGAGUGUGGGAGAGGGAAGCGGAAUUCCUGGUGUAGCGGUGAAAUGCGUAGAUAUCAGGAGGAACACCGGUGGUGUAGACGGCUUCCUGGACCACAACUGACGCUGAGACACGAAAGCGUGGGGAGCAAACAGG
This 400-nucleotide ribosomal RNA is filed under the name uncultured bacterium. Its description in RNAcentral is "bacterial SSU rRNA". It matches the Rfam family "Bacterial small subunit ribosomal RNA", at positions 359 to 776 of the family's 1533-position model. The record is from RNAcentral.